Molecule: ribosomal RNA, 254 nt
Filed under: uncultured bacterium
Lineage: Bacteria
Description: partial 16S ribosomal RNA
Rfam family: Bacterial small subunit ribosomal RNA
Source: RNAcentral
GACGUAGGGCGCAAGCGUUGUCCGGAUUUAUUGGGCGUAAAGAGCUCGUAGGCGGCCUGUCGCGUCGACCGUGAAAACCCGCAGCUCAACUGCGGGCUUGCGGUCGAUACGGGCAGGCUGGAGUUCGGUAGGGGGAGACUGGAAUUCCUGGUGUAGCGGUGAAAUGCGCAGAUAUCAGGAGGAACACCGGUGGCGAAGGCGGGUCUCUGGGCCGAUACUGACGCUGAGGAGCGAAAGCGUGGGGAGCGAACAGG